CAGCACACAGCCUUGAAUGGUCCUUGAUUUCCUUGUUCAUGAAGGGCCAAUUUACACUGGGGUAUCAUGGUAUUCUCUCAAAUGUGCCAGUCAUAGAGCCAUGAACAGAAGACCUCUUUAGAGAGCACCAGCAUGAUUCUUCUGACAGUGGAGAGGCAUAGUUUCCCUUGGUGAUCUCAGAAGGCAUCUGUAGCAAAUUCUAUUGAACUCAGGAGAAAAGCUCCAGCAUCAAAAUGAAAGAUAGAGAACAGGCUGAUUCACGGAAUAAAUCACUGAUCCAGAAAGAGAUCAGAGCUGUGACCACAGAACUGAACAAAUGGCCAGAAAUGUGUAA
This is a long non-coding RNA of Mustela lutreola (European mink), 334 nucleotides long. RefSeq lists it as uncharacterized. The transcript has 3 exons. Lineage: Eukaryota; Metazoa; Chordata; Mammalia; Carnivora; Mustelidae. The record is from RefSeq and is a predicted model, not a curated record.